UGCUCGCACGCUCGCAUAGAUUAACUUUUCAUACACGAUCCCCGCAGUCUCCGUCGGAGUCUGGAUACGUACGCGCCGGCUGGGACACGUUGGACCCGGCGUCGAUUAUCAAAUCUCUAUCAGCGACGGCGAAUUAUACCCUUGGUCCGCGAGGCGUAUCAGAGAAGUUUCAAACGAUCGUGCAGUUCGCUAGUUAUUGACCAAGGAUGCGUUUGCUGCUAGCGAUCGUAGGUCUAAGUUUCUGGAUGUUGCACGUUCUUGUCUGUCCUGCAAACGGUAUGGACAUAAACAUCCUGAAUUCGGAUUCCAUCUACUUUCCCGACCAAGCAGAAUACCUGAAGCUUUCCAUGAAAUGUCCUGAGAACAUGAUCUUGUGGCCAGGAACUCGUCGGUGUUACAGAGAAGGCGAGCAAGGUCCCUGCAAUAUCGGUAGAGUUCUCAUCCUUGAUAAGAAACUCUUGAAACCUGAUUGCAAAGACGAAUUCGUACCAUUCAAAUAAACAGGCAGGGUUUGCAGUUCACUGUUCUUACCGAUUCGUCAAACUUCCGCCAAAGAUGGCAGCAGGAAUCCGGAAGUCAUCCUCGAGAUACUUGGAGGAUUCAUGAUCGUCUGAUCAUUUGUAACUGUUAUUUUUUUUUUUUUUUUCACUACGAAAUAAUGAUGAAACCUUCUUUUUUUUCUACUGUAAUUGUUCAAUUUCACUUUCAUUUUCAUUUUCAUUUAUAUCUCAUUGGCGCGAGGACAAACACUGUGUGGUGAUGAUUGAUUUACUUCAUGUUACGUUGUUUGUGUCAUAUAAUACUUCAACGUAGAAUGUUUCGUAAAAUUCGAUUACAAAUCUGGUUAUUUUGAUAAUAAUGUAACGACGAUUCGGUUGUCACAUUAAUUUAUCUACAUAAUUUGCUUGUGGUGUUUGUUCAUUCAUGUAUUUAAAUGUAUGCUUAGUUAGUAUUUUCUACUAUUAUUGUAUUAUACAUAGACUAUAUAUUGCCAAUUUGAUAAGCUUAUAUGACUGAUACUAAAGUAUUGAAUGAUUUAACUAAUUUUUUUAUCGAAAUAGAAGUUAAAGAAAGAAGAAGGAGUACCUUGCGUUACACAAUUACUAAUUAAAUGUAAUAAACAUGACACAAAUAAUAUUAGCAUCAGUACUAUAUCAUGAUAUAGGUCUGGAAAAUAAAUUUUAUACUAUGUAUUUUGAUCGUAAUCUGUGAAAUAAACUGACAAUAAGAUUGAAUCUAACUUAAGUUUUGUUUCAUACUGUAGCAGCAAUAAAUCAUUGAAAAAUAAAAUAUGUUGUGAAUUAAA
This is a long non-coding RNA of Frieseomelitta varia, 1306 nucleotides long. RefSeq lists it as uncharacterized. The record is from RefSeq and is a predicted model, not a curated record. NCBI's taxonomy places the organism in Eukaryota, Metazoa, Arthropoda, Insecta, Hymenoptera, Apidae. The transcript has 2 exons.